ACAGGUGUCUGUUUCAGACUUAAUAGGGAAGCGUGGUUAAAAGCCGCCGCGGUCCCGCCACUGUGAUGAUGAGCCGAGGCAAUCGAUGCGUCACUGAAGGAAAUUUCCUUUGGGAAGGCCUGCCAAAGCGAUGAUUCUAAGCCAGGAGACCUGCCUGUUGCAC
Molecule: non-coding RNA, 163 nt
Filed under: uncultured Anaerosporomusa sp.
Lineage: Bacteria; Bacillati; Bacillota; Negativicutes; Acetonemataceae
Source: RNAcentral